This 217-nucleotide long non-coding RNA is filed under the name Solanum tuberosum (potato). RNAcentral describes it as "long non-coding RNA (STUB_LNC004132)". The record is from RNAcentral. Lineage: Eukaryota; Viridiplantae; Streptophyta; Magnoliopsida; Solanales; Solanaceae.
UAUAAUCAACAAGAGUUACAAAAGUGUUCUCCAAAAUGGCCACCAACAAAGUGCCAAACAAUGAGCAACACAACUACAAGAUAACACCAAAAAUUAGAGAAAUAAAGCAAAAACACCAAAUCCGCAACUACUGUUCACGAGCUAAAAUCUGGAGCUACAUGACUCCAAAUCACCCUCUCUCAGUUCCCAAUCAAAUAUUAAGUUGAAAGGAACAAGC